RNAcentral lists this ribosomal RNA (490 nucleotides) under uncultured bacterium. RNAcentral describes it as "partial 16S ribosomal RNA". It matches the Rfam family "Bacterial small subunit ribosomal RNA", at positions 29 to 506 of the family's 1533-position model. The record is from RNAcentral.
GUGAACGCUGGCGGUAGGCCUAACACAUGCAAGUCGAACGGCAGCACAGUAAGAGCUUGCUCUUACGGGUGGCGAGUGGCGGACGGGUGAGGAAUACAUCGGAAUCUACUUUUUCGUGGGGGAUAACGUAGGGAAACUUACGCUAAUACCACAUACGACCUACGGGUGAAAGCAGGGGAUCUUCGGACCUUGCGCGAUUGAAUGAGCCGAUGUCGGAUUAGCUAGUUGGCGGGGUAAAGGCCCACCAAGGCGACGAUCCGUAGCUGGUCUGAGAGGAUGAUCAGCCACACUGGAACUGAGACACGGUCCAGACUCCUACGGGAGGCAGCAGUGGGGAAUAUUGGACAAUGGGCGCAAGCCUGAUCCAGCCAUACCGCGUGGGUGAAGAAGGCCUUCGGGUUGUAAAGCCCUUUUGUUGGGAAAGAAAAGCAGCAGGUUAAUACCCCGCUGUUCUGACGGUACCCAAAGAAUAAGCACCGGCUAACUUCGU